RNAcentral lists this transfer RNA (74 nucleotides) under Candidatus Gottesmanbacteria bacterium RIFCSPLOWO2_01_FULL_43_11b. Its description in RNAcentral is "tRNA-Val". It matches the Rfam family "tRNA". From Rfam's summary of the family: Transfer RNA (tRNA) molecules are approximately 80 nucleotides in length. Their secondary structure includes four short double-helical elements and three loops (D, anti-codon, and T loops). The record is from RNAcentral. Lineage: Bacteria; Candidatus Gottesmaniibacteriota.
GGACGAUUAGCUCAGCUGGCUAGAGCGUCUCAUUUACACUGAGAAGGCCGGGGGUUCGAGUCCCUCAUCGUCCA